UUUGAACCGCAUGGUUCAAACAUAAAAGGUGGCUUCGGCUACCACUUACAGAUGGACCCGCGGCGCAUUAGCUAGUUGGUGAGGUAACGGCUCACCAAGGCAACGAUGCGUAGCCGACCUGAGAGGGUGAUCGGCCACACUGGGACUGAGACACGGCCCAGACUCCUACGGGAGGCAGCAGUAGGGAAUCUUCCGCAAUGGACGAAAGUCUGACGGAGCAACGCCGCGUGAGUGAUGAAGGUUUUCGGAUCGUAAAGCUCUGUUGUUAGGGAAGAACAAGUACCGUUCGAAUAGGGACGCACCUUGACGGUACCUAAC
This 318-nucleotide ribosomal RNA is filed under the name Bacillus mojavensis. Its description in RNAcentral is "bacterial SSU rRNA". It matches the Rfam family "Bacterial small subunit ribosomal RNA", at positions 180 to 483 of the family's 1533-position model. The record is from RNAcentral. Lineage: Bacteria; Bacillati; Bacillota; Bacilli; Caryophanales; Bacillaceae.